AAGUGCGGGUCCCACCGCUGCCCUGCGCUGGCCAGGCCGUGCCCCGGCACCGAGCCCCGGAACCGCCUCCUCCUUCCUGAGCCCCAGGCACCGAGAAAGCCCAAACGGGCUUUGCCCCGCGAGUGGCCGAACGCCUGCUCCAGACGGGUGUAGAGCUGCUCAUGGCUUUUGUACUAUACCGGGCAUUUUGCUAUGGUUACAAGGGGGCCCCGGGGCGGGAUUGGGGGGGGGGGGGGGAAGGGGGGGAGUCGUAAGGGAAGGAUGUUGCGCUUUUGUAGGGCCUAAAAAUUGGAUCCGCAGCUGAUCUUGGCGAGCCCGAGAUCCCGGGAAGUCAAAGGGUGCUGUGGAGGUGCGAUGCAGUGCGGUGCGGGGAGAGGAGCGGCAGGGCGAAGCGGAGCGAGCGGCGCCGGGCAGGCAGCCAUUGUUUCACGGUUCCACGUUCUUCGCCCAACCUCCGCCCGUCCAAGAAACUUCCUAAAGUUCAUCGGAAGGGGAACUCUCUGCACCUCGGUGGUUAAUGUCACUGUUUUAACGCUACCUCUCCCCGAGCUGCGCAGGCUUCUCCAAGAUCUAUCUUUAGGGGGAGUUCCCCGAAGUCUCCGGAGGGAACAUAGCUGCGGAUUUCAAACCCGGUCCGGUUCCAGUCGCACAGUGCCUGCUGCAAGAGAAGGGGGAGAUACUCACCAGAGUUUCGGGAGUGCGCGGGUAGCCCAAAGGUCUCUGCGGCGCUCCUUUCCUUUGCGGAAUACUAUCUUGCAUCCGAGGCAGUUCCCAGUCUAUAUUUGAUGUUACCAUUUAUGCUAUCUCAAACACGAGGCUCUCCCAUAGACAUUUUUUCCAGGGUUUUCAAGCAAAUUUCUCUGUGCCACAAUGUUAUGAUGGAAGGAUGCUGAAAUGACAGGCCUCGUAGACGCUUGUCUUAAUCAUCGGCUUCUUAAUUUAGUUUUAGUGCUGUGGUUUUGUGUGUGUGUGCGUGUGUGUCUGCGCGUGUGUGCGCGCAAGAGAAGCCUCUGACAACCUGCAGCUUCCUAAUGACUGACGAGGCAGGGCUGCUGCAGCAAAGUAACACUUCCCUGGUGUGAAGACCUCUUACUGGGAAGUUUAGUUCACUACUGUUCUCGCAACCCUAAUCGUAUAACCUGUAACCAAAACCCACGGAAGAAAGAUACAGCAUGCUAAAUAGACUAACUUCUAAUCACCAAACAUUAGCACCACUACCAGCUGUUGAGGAUUAAUCGGAAGUUGGCUAUAGACGGACACCUAAACUUAGAUCCACAAAUGCGGCUAGAAGGGUGGACCGUCGAAUGCUUCUUCCUCUCCCUCUUUGCCUCCAUUCAUCCAUCCAGCCACCUUCCGUCCCAUUCACCCCUCUUCAACAUGUUUGACUCCCUCCUUCUCUUUGUUCGCUCACUGCUCCGUCCCCACUCGCCAUGCCUUGGCAGCAGGGCAUCAGUGUCUGCUGGACAGCCCUUACCUUGAUUCCCCGGGCAACCUGGACUGACUAAGGUAGGCUUAGAGUCAAGUGGGAAUAGAGUUAUAUAUGCGUACAUCCAGGCAUUUACUGUACCGAAUGUGAUAUUACUGAUUGCUAAACCGAAGUGUCCUGAUUAGAUUCAUGGAAGCAUGAUGCCAUCGAAGAGUGGUUAUUAAAUACCCUUUCUUCAUGGCCGAAAAAAACCUCAUUCCUUUCUUAUGCUGUCAGUACAUUUUAGCAGUUUAAUCUCUUGAAAGAGCCUGAGAGUACAGAGCUGCUACACCCGUGUUAAGGGGAACUGAAGGCUGGAGCUGGGGGGAAACGGAGGGUACGCUGUGUCCAUUGAACUUACAGUGGAGAGAGUCUGAUUUUCCGUUGGCUUUUAAUUUGAAAUAAUAAAUUAAAAA
Strigops habroptila (Kakapo) is the source of this 1881-nucleotide long non-coding RNA. Lineage: Eukaryota; Metazoa; Chordata; Aves; Psittaciformes; Psittacidae. The record is from Ensembl.